Molecule: ribosomal RNA, 468 nt
Filed under: uncultured bacterium
Lineage: Bacteria
Description: partial 16S ribosomal RNA
Rfam family: Bacterial small subunit ribosomal RNA
Source: RNAcentral
GACGAACGCUGGCGGCGUGCUUAACACAUGCAAGUCGAACGGAAAGGCCCUGCUUUUGUGGGGUGCUCGAGUGGCGAACGGGUGAGUAACACGUGAGUAACCUGCCCUUGACUUUGGGAUAACUUCAGGAAACUGGGGCUAAUACCGGAUAGGAGCUCCUGCUGCAUGGUGGGGGUUGGAAAGUUUCGGCGGUUGGGGAUGGACUCGCGGCUUAUCAGCUUGUUGGUGGGGUAGUGGCUUACCAAGGCUUUGACGGGUAGCCGGCCUGUGAGGGUGACCGGCCACAUGGGGACUGAGAUACGGCCCAGACUCCUACGGUAGGCAGCAGUGGGGAAUAUUGCACAAUGGGCGGAAGCCUGAUGCAGCAACGCCGCGUGCGGGAUGACGGCCUUCGGGUUGUAAACCGCUUUCGCCUGUGACGAAGCGUGAGUGACGGUAAUGGGUAAAGAAGCACCGGCUAACUACGUG